GUCAGGCGGACACAGAAGAGACUCAGUAUUAGGAGCACAGCUAACACUCAGCAACAGGAAUGCAUAUUUCAUUAUACUCAACUGGUUAGCGACCAUUACUAAUGAGCUGCAUGUCUACCAGCUGCAGAUGUAGAAACAUUUACACUGUGUGUAUCUGUGAAUUGUUGGUUCAGUCUUCACACUGCCAGAGGCAAUAAACAAAUCAUUCUGCUUUGCUUCCUCCCCCACAUCCCUUCUCCUCCUCCCUGCUCUGCCUCUCUCUAUCCCUCUGGGCACCCAAGCAGAGAGAGAGGAAGAAAAAUAGAGAGAGUGAGAGGGAAAGUGGGAGUAAGAAGGUGGAAUGUUGAAUGCAGCAGAACAGUGGACCUGAUGGGAGGUGAAGUGGGACGGUGAUGCACCAUAGAAGCUGAUAACUCCAGCAGGAAGUGGAGCAGGGCCAGGUGAACCAGCCGAGGUCACAGACCUACCUCCAGGGGACUACUGGGUCUUUCUAGAGAUCAGACAGUGUACCUGUGCCCGCGGAUGUCAGACUGGUCACACACCCCUCCCAGGGCAAUGCGGUGGAACUCCCUGCCCAGGGUACGGGCGAUGGAGCGCCCCACACUGGUCUUUCCCACCCCAGGCGGCCCCACGAAGCACAGGAUGGGCCCCUUGAGGGUGCUCUUCAGCUGCCUCACAGCCAGGUACUCCAGCACUCUCCUCUUCAGCUUCUCCAUGGCAUAGUGGUCACUGUCCAACAGCACCCGCGCAGCAUGGAUAUCAAGACAGUCUGCAGAGACAAUGCGGAUCAUGGUUUAAUUCCAACACCGUGAAUAUUGUCAAAGACCUUAUCUAAUGUCAACCAAGUGAUUAAGAUAACCAAUAAUCUAGAUUGUAAUAACAAGUAUUGUUUUAUGUGGCUACAUGACUAUAUAAUAAUAAUAAUAAUAUAUGCCAUUUAGCAGACGCUUUUAUCCAAAGCGACUUACAGUCAUGUGUGCAUACAUUCUACGUAUGGGUGGUCCCGGGAAUCGAACCCACUACCCUGGCGUUACAAGCGCCAUGCUCUACCAACUGAGCUACAGAAGGACCAAGCAGACAUAUGGUAUGGACUCCCCUGUGUGGUAAUGCUGAAUCAUCUAAGCAAAUGUCCCCAAUACUCUCAGUGUCUAAUGACUGGCUAUAGAGGACAAAGCAACCAGUGACAAAAUAUGAUAUUGAGCUCCCUCCAGUGGUAGAAGCCUUUAAUUCCAUUUUGAACAGAGAGUUCAAAAAAAGAGAGCUGUGGUGGACUUCCUCGGGGUACACUUUGGUUUCUACCCCUCGUCCCAAAAAAGUGCCCUAUCCCAUUACAGAGAGUUUCAAGGUAUAACGUGCAUAUGAUGUGCUCUGUAUGUAUGGAUAUGUACAUUUCUAAAUUCAAAAAAUAAAGUGUAAAUGAAUAAAGAAAUGAACCUGAGAUUGUAGUGGUGUCAUAGUGGUGUACUGUGCAUACCUGUGGUACUUUUGCUCCAGGGCAAUUCCACCAUAAGAUCCAGGUAGUUUCGGGUGAGAGCGUACUCUGGCAUGGACUGGGGCAUCUUCUUCAAUCUGUGUAGAUUAACAUACAGUGCCUUCAGAAGGUAUUCACACACCAUUACUGUUUCCAAAUUUUGUUGUGUUACAGCCGGAAUAUAAAAUGUAUUACAUUUAGAUUUUGUGUCACUGGACUACACACCAUACCCCAUAAUGUCAAAGUGGAAUUAUGUUUUAAGAAAUGUUUACAAAUGAAUAAAAAAUGAAAAGCU
Oncorhynchus keta (chum salmon) is the source of this 1766-nucleotide long non-coding RNA. RefSeq lists it as uncharacterized. The transcript is spliced from 3 exons. Lineage: Eukaryota; Metazoa; Chordata; Actinopteri; Salmoniformes; Salmonidae. The record is from RefSeq and is a predicted model, not a curated record.